ACAGCAGUCGCCACGGUAAUACAGAGGGUGCAAGCGUUAAUCGGAAUUACUGGGCGUAAAGCGCGCGUAGGUGGUUUGUUAAGUCUGCUGUGAAAUCCCCGGGCUCAACCUGGGAAUGGCAGUGGAUACUGGCAAGCUAGAGUGUGUCAGAGGAUGGUGGAAUUCCCGGUGUAGCGGUGAAAUGCGUAGAGAUCGGGAGGAACAUCAGUGGCGAAGGCGGCCAUCUGGGACAACACUGACGCUGAGGCACGAAAGCGUGGGGAGCAAACAGGAUUAGAUACCCGCGUAGUCCCUGUCUCUUAUAC
Molecule: ribosomal RNA, 305 nt
Filed under: uncultured bacterium
Lineage: Bacteria
Description: partial 16S ribosomal RNA
Rfam family: Bacterial small subunit ribosomal RNA
Source: RNAcentral